Molecule: RNA transcript, 1735 nt
Organism: Ziziphus jujuba (common jujube)
Lineage: Eukaryota; Viridiplantae; Streptophyta; Magnoliopsida; Rosales; Rhamnaceae
Exons: 3
Source: RefSeq, a predicted model, not a curated record
AGAGGGCUAAUGAUAUUUACCCCUUCUUCGUCAAGGUUUUUUUAUCUACCCCUUGCUUCCUAUUUUGCCCCUACUAAAACAAAAAAUUACUUUACCUUUCCUUUUCUCAUUCUUAAAGCCAAUAAUUCCGGGUUCCUGCACCUCUGCUUUCCUUUCUUUCUUCUUACCUGAGAAAACCCACAAAUAAUCCCAUUAAAAAUCCUGCUCGACCUCUUUUUUCCUUUCCCCCAUGAAAAAUCAAAUUUACACCUUUUUGAUUUUUUCUAUGUGAAUUCUUAGCUAAUAUUGCUGUAUCGGUGGCCUUGAUAUGUAAUUGGUGCUUUGUAGGGUAAUUUGCAAGUUGCAAAUUUAUAUGCUGGUACCGACAGUGUAGAGCUCAAAGGCAUGAAAUAAUUGUUGAAUUGAAUUAUUUCUUAAGGCAUUGUAUCUGCAAGUUGCAAGUGUAUAUUCUUUUCUCAAAGAAGCCGUUCCUGGCGUUUUUAGAAUCCACCGGCUACUCUCAAGAAGAUGUGCUCCUUCAGAAGCCCAAAGUUGGGGUAUGUAUAGCUUCAAAUCAUUCUUAAUUAGAAUGCUUAAAUCACCCUUGAAUCAGGCUUUCUGAUCUAGAUUCAGAUGUGGGUUAAUAUCAGUUACUGAGUAGUUUAAUGCUUGCAGCUCCUGAAGCCUACUUUCACAAUUAUAUGUGAUAAAGAUUCAAAAUACUUCCUUUUAUUGAUUUGUGGAACCCAUAGCAUCAAAGAUACACUAACAACAGCUAAUGGUGUAGUGGUACCUUUCCUCUCUUUUAUUUUGCAUGAUGGUGGGAUAAGCAAUUUGGUUCUGGUUUUUGCAUAUUGUGGGAUGGUUGUUGCUGCUCGUUGGAUUGCUAAGCUCAACACUUCAUCCUUGCUUAAAGCUCUCAAUGCCUAUCCUGACUACAAAGUUAAGGCUUCUAGGAUCACUUAGUGUACAAAGGACACCAAAUAUUCUUGUACAAAAGAGAACAAAUAUCUGCUACAAAUUUGUGGGGUGCAUUUCAAGGCCAAGGAUAUGGAGAAUUUAAUGACAUUAGAUCCAUUACUAUUAUGGUCGAUUAUAUUGUUCCAACAGUUCUUCAACAACUUGGCAUGCUGAAAUACAGUUCAAAGCUUGCCAAAUUGAUUGUGGCUAAUAAUGAAAUAGAUUCAGGCAGUGACGAGGAAGUUAAGCUAUGGACUUGCUCCAUAUAUGCUGUGGAGAGGAUGAAGGAGUUGAUCAGUAAAAAAUCAGGGAAGCAGGUGCUUAGUGUGGAGUUAGACCUUUGGCUUUGGUCUUUUGGCAUUCAAUUUCCAUCUCUGCAACACCACUGAACACUUUCAACAUAUUACUGAGCUCACCAUAUCCGAUGGUGUCCUUCUUAAUUUAUGCUUCUAACUGUAAGAUUAUAGGAACUAGCAUAGUAAGUUUUGGGGUGAAGUCAUUAGAAAGAUGUGUCUAUAAAUUCCUCGCAUCUAUUGUUCUGUUUGCAUGGUUGUAGCUUUUCUUAAUUUUGAGAAGUACUACUAAUAUUAGCCUUGAGUUGAUGAACCAAAAACUUAUUGUUUUAAAAAUUGAACAUUUGAUAUGUUGCUAUUACCUAUUUUGAGAUAUCUGUCACUUGUAUUUUUCUAUUCGCUGUAAAAAAAUUAGUGGCUUUGUAAUGUCGCAGUAGGUGUCAUAGCUUUUCAUGUUAUUUUUAAUUUAUGUUUAACAACUCUAUAAGUACCUUGAACCUCUA